RNAcentral lists this ribosomal RNA (732 nucleotides) under Escherichia coli. RNAcentral describes it as "partial 23S ribosomal RNA". It matches the Rfam family "Bacterial large subunit ribosomal RNA", at positions 2211 to 2925 of the family's 2925-position model. Lineage: Bacteria; Pseudomonadati; Pseudomonadota; Gammaproteobacteria; Enterobacterales; Enterobacteriaceae. The record is from RNAcentral.
UGUUUGAUGUUCUAACGUUGGCCCGUAAUCCGGGUUGCGGACAGUGUCUGGUGGGUAGUUUGACUGGGGCGGUCUCCUCCUAAAGAGUAACGGAGGAGCACGAAGGUUGGCUAAUCCUGGUCGGACAUCAGGAGGUUAGUGCAAUGGCAUAAGCCAGCUUGACUGCGAGCGUGACGGCGCGAGCAGGUGCGAAAGCAGGUCAUAGUGAUCCGGUGGUUCUGAAUGGAAGGGCCAUCGCUCAACGGAUAAAAGGUACUCCGGGGAUAACAGGCUGAUACCGCCCAAGAGUUCAUAUCGACGGCGGUGUUUGGCACCUCGAUGUCGGCUCAUCACAUCCUGGGGCUGAAGUAGGUCCCAAGGGUAUGGCUGUUCGCCAUUUAAAGUGGUACGCGAGCUGGGUUUAGAACGUCGUGAGACAGUUCGGUCCCUAUCUGCCGUGGGCGCUGGAGAACUGAGGGGGGCUGCUCCUAGUACGAGAGGACCGGAGUGGACGCAUCACUGGUGUUCGGGUUGUCAUGCCAAUGGCACUGCCCGGUAGCUAAAUGCGGAAGAGAUAAGUGCUGAAAGCAUCUAAGCACGAAACUUGCCCCGAGAUGAGUUCUCCCUGACUCCUUGAGGGUCCUGAAGGAACGUUGAAGACGACGACGUUGAUAGGCCGGGUGUGUAAGCGCAGCGAUGCGUUGAGCUAACCGGUACUAAUGAACCGUGAGGCUUAACCUUACAACGCCGAAG